RNAcentral lists this ribosomal RNA (33 nucleotides) under Diaporthe foeniculina. Its description in RNAcentral is "partial 18S ribosomal RNA". The record is from RNAcentral. Lineage: Eukaryota; Fungi; Ascomycota; Sordariomycetes; Diaporthales; Diaporthaceae.
GCCCCUGGCGCACCCAGAAACCCUUCGUGAACU